AUGCAUUUAUGUAUGUAUAUUUGUAUGUACUUUAACUUUCUGCCUCUAUGUUUACGUCUACUGAGUUUUAAUAUGGUGGGUCUGUUUGAAAGGAUGAAAAACUCAAAGGGAGGGGAUAAAACAAAGGGAGAGUGGGUGCUGGAAUGGGAGAUGGAUGCACUGGGAAGCACAAAGGCUGAGACAGAUGGCCAACUGACUCUUCCACACAAACUACAGCUUGUCUGUGGGUGUGGGUGCAUUGUUAGCUGUGUUAGAGUGCACUAUCCUGAACCUGCCUCCCUGUGUGUGUCUGUACAGAUGAGGACAGUGAGAUGGACAGGCAGAAGCACAGCGCUGAGGAAAAUCAGCAGGACGAACUCGGACAAAAGAAGCCCCGCAGGAAAGACACGCCUGUGCUCAACUCUCCUCCACUUAUACCAGGGGUGAGAUUAAUGAAAGGGGAAGCCCGUCUGAUUCACAUGGAGGACGAAGAAAAGGAGGCAAAGAAAUAGCUGUAUUUUUACACCAUGGCGUACGCACUGAUUGUUGUUGUUGUUUGUUUCCCAUUGUUUUAAUAGCUUGCAUGUGUUAAAGCCUGUCUGAACCUUUCUCAAAUGUCUCAAAUGUUGUGCUUCAUUUUCCACGUGUCAGAGAUUUACAAUAUAUAAAUACACAUUUCUGC
RNAcentral lists this long non-coding RNA (661 nucleotides) under Astyanax mexicanus (Mexican tetra). RNAcentral describes it as "lncRNA (ENSAMXG00005023705.1)". Lineage: Eukaryota; Metazoa; Chordata; Actinopteri; Characiformes; Acestrorhamphidae. The record is from RNAcentral.